GAAUGUGACGGUCAUCUGACUACAGCGUUUGUCACCCUGUUGAUCACGAGCAAUGCUUAGGCCUAUCUGGCAGGCUUGGCGGGUGUCCACUUCUCCCUCACUGUUCCAUGCGUGUUCUCCCGAAGCUGGGACAAUAAAGGAAGAUGUUUUUCUCUUAAACUCUUCUAUUAACUGCACUUCCCUGCUGGAACUUCCAAAGAGGCCAAUGACUUAAAUCAUCUUUGAUAUGACAGGGACUUCCAAUUUUAGGUCUCCAUCCCUAACGUCCUUUAUUAAGGUCCAAGGCCAUAUAUUCAGUUGC
RNAcentral lists this small nuclear RNA (301 nucleotides) under Carlito syrichta (Philippine tarsier). RNAcentral describes it as "7SK RNA (ENSTSYG00000024400.2)". It matches the Rfam family "7SK RNA". Rfam says of the family: 7SK was discovered as an abundant small nuclear RNA in the mid-70s but a possible function has only recently been suggested. Two independent studies have found that 7SK RNA binds the CDK9/cyclin T complex (known as elongation factor P-TEFb). The record is from Rfam by way of RNAcentral. Lineage: Eukaryota; Metazoa; Chordata; Mammalia; Primates; Tarsiidae.